UGGGGAAUAUUGGACAAUGGGCGAAAGCCUGAUCCAGCGACGCCGCGUGGGUGAUGAAGGCCUUCGGGUUGUAAAGCCCUGUGGGCAGGGAAGAAAACGGCGGGUUCAAAUAGGGCCCGUCCUUGACGGUACCUGCUCAGAAAGCACCGGCUAACUCUGUGCCAGCAGCCGCGGUAAGACAGAGGGUGCAAACGUUGCUCGGAAUUACUGGGCGUAAAGCGCGUGUAGGCGGACUGGUGUGUCGGAUGUGAAAGCCCUGGGCUCAACCCAGGAACUGCAUUCGAAACUGCCAGUCUCGAGUGGUGGAGAGGGAAGUGGAAUUCCUGGUGUAGAGGUGAAAUUCGUAGAUAUCAGGAGGAACACCAGUGGCGAAGGCGGCUUCCUGGACACCAACUGACGCUGAGACGCGAAAGCGUGGGGAGCAAACAGGAUUAGAUACCCCCGUAGUCC
RNAcentral lists this ribosomal RNA (450 nucleotides) under uncultured bacterium. Its description in RNAcentral is "bacterial SSU rRNA". It matches the Rfam family "Bacterial small subunit ribosomal RNA", at positions 355 to 796 of the family's 1533-position model. The record is from RNAcentral.